AGAAGCAUUAAUUUUGAUAUAUUAAAAACAACACAACAAAAGAAACAUCUCCAUUGUGAUUUCCUACUCAUCCCUAAAACCCACUCGAUCGUAUGCUCCAUCAAUAAACUACCGCCGUCAAGAUUUCCGGCAUCUUCCCGCGAAAUCCGGCAAGAAACUACCGCCGUCAUUCGUAACUCAUUUUUUGGCGAUUUGCAGCAAGAAAAUGAACCGAACGUAACAACAAUUUAGUUUGUCGCGUGAGUUCAGCUGGGAAGAGGUCUGAAGGUUGUUUGUGAUGCGAGAAAGAAUGACGUUUUGGUACAAAAUAAAAUGACAGUCGAAGGUUUAGAAGGAUCAGCUAACCAACUAUCAUGUGUGAUGAAGUUUGGUGGAUCUUCGGUUGCAUCGGCAGAUAGAAUGAAAGAAGUAGCUGAGCUUAUCCUCAGCUUUCCAGAAGAGAAUCCUUUGAUAGUUUUGUCUGCUAUGGGCAAAACUACGAACAAGCAUAUAGUGGCUGGAGAAAAGGCUGCAAGCUGUAUUUCGGAUGUGUCUGAAAUCGAUGAGUUGAGUUUUGUGAAAGAACUGCACUACAGGACAGUGGAUGAGCUUGUUUUAGACAGAUCAAUCAUUAUAGGCAAGUCUUUUGAUGUGGAAAGUUCAAGGUUAAAUUCAAAAGUACAAAUCUUGCAACUGAUCUGAUGAUUGAUGAUGGCAGGUUUGUUUGUCAACAACUAACCGAAACUUUCCGGGUCGAAUGGGACACAAAGAAGGUCAAAUAUAUCUGGCUUCUCCUUAUACGGCUGUAGCUUCGGCUUUGACCGGUUUUGUUACUGAUCCAAGAGACUUUCUGCAUUGAGCUUUCAGUGAUGCAACCUUGUGAGUUUAAAAAAAUGAUAUUUAGGUGCUAAAAUAAGGUCGCUAGUCAAAACCAAAAUGAUUACGUGUCAGCUGAGCUAUGUUUUGUAUUAGAACAUUAUUGUUACUGUCAGUGGCAAACCCAGGAAAUUAUUUUUGUGGGGCGGAACUUUUAGGUUCGUUUGUCUAUCAUUAGAUAUUUAAAAAAAAAAUCGGUUCGUUUCGGGUCGGGUUAGGUCGAGCAGGUCACAGACUAAAAAGAUAAAACCAAAUUAAAUUUUAAAUAAAUAAUAAAGUUUCCUCAAUCUUCAUUAGAAAUCAGCAACGUCCCAUUUUGGCUUCAUGUAAGGAUCAAAAUUCAAUCUUUUUAUUAUUUGGAUAAUCUUUUUGAAAAAAUGAUCAUAUUAACCAACUGAAAGUUGACCUUUUUAUUAACAGGAGAAAGAGUUCUUUGCUGAAAGUUCCCAAAAACACCAUUUCCCAAUGGUUGCUGAAACUUGACACAUAUAUACUAAAGGGAAACAAAAUUAUUAGGAUUUGGCAAUCAGGCUUGGCACCAGUCAGUGAUACUGUAAGUUAAAAAAAAUCUGACCCGACCCGACCCGAAACCCGUCCUGACCCAAACCCGUUUCGACCCGAAUCAAAACAACCCUUUUUUAUGUAAUAGUCAAUUUAAUGAUUGUCUUUGUUUUGAACGUCUACAAAUCUUUACUUCAAGGUGUAAGAGUCUAUAAGGUCAUGAUAGAAGAGUUGCUUGGCAAAGGAAUGAAAUCUGCAACAAAUGUGUGCAUGAUUGGGAUUUUUUGCUGAUUUGGGGUUGACUUCGCACAUCAUUGGGAGUGGUUUCAGUUUGAUCCCGAUCAUGACAUUAUUGCGGUAUGUUGGUUAAUCGGUUAUUUGCUGGUAUAUUAUCUGGAAAAUAGUUGGGUGACAUGGGUCGAUGGUUUUGGUGGGUUAUAACUUAUAUGGCAAGAUUCAAGAAUGGGUUUGGGAGUAUGGGGAUGAUGGCUGGAGUGUGAAGAUGGAUGUUGCUGAUAGCCUGAUACUACUCGGAAGCUAGCUAGAUGAAGCUGGAUUUCUGAAGAUAGUAGAUUGGUUUUUGUGUAGUGUAGAUCUGUAGAUUUUGCUUUUGUUUUGUUUUAUACUUUUAUUUAUGGUUUAAGGCUUAGAGUUCAUGUUUUACACAAAUGGAACGUAAAUGUUAUUGAGUUUUGAACACAGUAAUUAUUUUGACCGCUUGCGCGCGCGAUGUUUAAAUCCUA
This is an RNA transcript of Helianthus annuus (common sunflower), 2099 nucleotides long. It is a transcript of the gene named aspartokinase 1, chloroplastic, with no coding region annotated. NCBI's taxonomy places the organism in Eukaryota, Viridiplantae, Streptophyta, Magnoliopsida, Asterales, Asteraceae. The record is from RefSeq and is a predicted model, not a curated record. The transcript is spliced from 7 exons.